GAUGAACGCUGGCGGCGUGCCUAAUACAUGCAAGUCGAGCGAACAGACGAGGAGCUUGCUCCUCUGACGUUAGCGGCGGACGGGUGAGUAACACGUGGAUAACCUACCUAUAAGACUGGGAUAACUUCGGGAAACCGGAGCUAAUACCGGAUAAUAUAUUGAACCGCAUGGUUCAAUAGUGAAAGGCGGUUUUGCUGUCACUUAUAGAUGGAUCCGCGCCGCAUUAGCUAGUUGGUAAGGUAACGGCUUACCAAGGCAACGAUGCGUAGCCGACCUGAGAGGGUGAUCGACCACACUGGAACUGAGACACGGUCCAGACUCCUACGGGAGGCAGCAGUAGGGAAUCUUCCGCAAUGGGCGAAAGCUUGACGGAGCAACGCCGCGUGAGUGAUGAAGGUCUUCGGAUCGUAAAACUCUGUUAUUAGGGAAGAACAAAUGUGUAAGUAGCUAUGCACGUCUUGACGGUACCUAAUCAGAAAGCCACGGCUAACUACGUG
RNAcentral lists this ribosomal RNA (497 nucleotides) under uncultured bacterium. Its description in RNAcentral is "partial 16S ribosomal RNA". It matches the Rfam family "Bacterial small subunit ribosomal RNA", at positions 28 to 507 of the family's 1533-position model. The record is from RNAcentral.